CCACCGCUCUCAAAGCUGGAGCUCGGUGCGAUUCGCUCCCCGGAUCUAAUAAUUCACCAGCACCGGGGCUUUUUAUAGGGUUUUAAUUUUAAUUUGGAAUUAUCUCAUCUUUUCUCAAUGUUAUGAGUGAAACGCGUUGGAAACGGACAAGUGCUAUCCAGGGGCCUCACUAGAUGGACGGCUGAGAUAUGCUUUCCGAGAGGCAACGGCGGGGUUUUUCCGAUUUGCAAAUUGUUAUAUGGUUCGUUGGGGCUGAGAGGAAGGGAGAAAGGAGGGGGGAGAUGCGGGAGGAGCAGAGGGAGACGAGGAGGAGGGCUCACAGCAGUUCCAAACCCGGCGAGGAGGUCGAAUCCGUCGAGUUAGUUCAGCAUCAAGUUGGGAGGACAGUGAUGCAGUCAUAGCACAUUCUAAUGAGUAUUCAGAAUGAUGUUACACUUUCUUAUCUGGUGACCUUGCGAGAAACACCUGGCUCUUGAAGUCUAUGAAACCUGAUCUAGACCACUUUUUUACAAAGUUAAGAAGCAUGAAAGCGAACCUAAAAGCGACGUAUCCUGAUGCCUUUCCAGAUGGUUUGACAACAAAGAUCCUGGAACAGACCUGACCUCAAAAAGUGCCUCCGCUGUUGGCGUCAGAGGUUAUAAUUAAAUUGGCUGUUUUGUUAUUUGCCCCCAUCUAGGUACGGACUUUAGAAGAGAUGAAGAGAUGACGCACAUGAGCACGGAUCCUCUAUGGUGUGCAGUUUGUACCCCAAAGUGAUGUGCAGCGCUUGAUGGUCACCAUCAGGAGAUGGAUGGUGAUUAAGAAAUGCAGCCUUACAUGGAUAGCCAUAUAUCUCUUGAUGGCUGCCUGCUCAGCACUCUAUGAUGCAAAGCACACACUGCAGAGAAUCCUAUCAUAUGUAUGUGAACAAGUGAGGCACAUUAGUCUGAUCAGACUGAUGCGCAUUCAAUAUAUCCUGGGGCUUAAUUGGUGCUCCAGGGCCGUGCAUGCUUCGCAAUUCAAUUUCUAUUACGUUCUAAGAUGUGAUUACGUACAGAUAUCAGUGACUUUACCGUAAUUCAGUGCAUUGAUUGAUGCAUAAA
Long non-coding RNA from Elaeis guineensis (African oil palm), 1082 nucleotides. RefSeq lists it as uncharacterized. The record is from RefSeq and is a predicted model, not a curated record. NCBI's taxonomy places the organism in Eukaryota, Viridiplantae, Streptophyta, Magnoliopsida, Arecales, Arecaceae.